GAAGGGGGCGAGCGUUGUUCGGAUUUACUGGGCGUAAAGGGCGCGCAGGCGGCUUUGUUUGUCAGGCGUGAAAGCCCCGGGCUUAACCUGGGAACUGCGCUUGAGACGGCGAGGCUAGAGAUCGGGAGAGGAGAGUGGAAUUCCCAGUGUAGAGGUGAAAUUCGUAGAUAUUGGGAAGAACACCGGUGGCGAAGGCGGCUCUCUGGACCGACACUGACGCUGAGGCGCGAAAGCGUGGGGAGCAAACAGGAUUAGAUACCCUGGUAGUCCACGCUGCAAACGAUGUGUGCUAGACGUUGGGGAGCCUAGCUCUUCGGUGUCGCAGCUAACGCUUUAAGCACACCGCCUGGGGAGUACGGCCGCAAGGUUA
Molecule: ribosomal RNA, 370 nt
Filed under: uncultured organism
Description: bacterial SSU rRNA
Rfam family: Bacterial small subunit ribosomal RNA
Source: RNAcentral